UACGGAGGAUCCGAGCGUUAUCCGGAUUUAUUGGGUUUAAAGGGUGCGCAGGCGGGAUGUUAAGUCGGCGGUGAAAUUUUGCAGCUCAACUGUAAAAGUGCCUCCGAUACUGGCUUCCUUGAGUGUGGAUGAAGUAGGCGGAAUUUGUGGUGUAGCGGUGAAAUGCUUAGAUAUCACGAGGAACUCCGAUUGCGCAGGCAGCUUACUAAACCACUACUGACGCUCAUGCACGAAGGCGUGGGGAUCAAACAGGAUUAGAUA
This 261-nucleotide ribosomal RNA is filed under the name uncultured prokaryote. RNAcentral describes it as "partial 16S ribosomal RNA". It matches the Rfam family "Bacterial small subunit ribosomal RNA", at positions 524 to 784 of the family's 1533-position model. The record is from RNAcentral.